Molecule: ribosomal RNA, 324 nt
Filed under: uncultured eukaryote
Lineage: Eukaryota
Description: partial 18S ribosomal RNA
Rfam family: Eukaryotic small subunit ribosomal RNA
Source: RNAcentral
CCCUUAGAUGUUCUGGGCCGCACGCGCGCUACACUGAUGCAUUCAACGAGUUUCUUCCUGGUCCGAGAGGAAUGGGUAACCUUUUGAAAGUGCAUCGUGAUAGGGAUAGACUAUUGCAAUUAUUGGUCUUCAACGAGGAAUUCCUAGUAGACGUAGUUCAUCAGACUGCAUCGAUUACGUCCCUGCCCUUUGUACACACCGCCCGUCGCUCCUACCGAUCGAAGAGUUAGGUGAAUUGUUUUGAUCGAUAAGAUUUGACUAUGGUCAACUCUCGUUGUGAAAUUCUGUGAAUCUGACUGUUUAGAGGAAGGAAAAGUCGUAACA